Molecule: ribosomal RNA, 497 nt
Filed under: uncultured bacterium
Lineage: Bacteria
Description: partial 16S ribosomal RNA
Rfam family: Bacterial small subunit ribosomal RNA
Source: RNAcentral
GACGAACGCUGGCGGCGUGCCUAAUACAUGCAAGUUGAGCGCUGAAGGUUGGUACUUGUACCAACUGGAUGAGCAGCGAACGGGUGAGUAACGCGUGGGGAAUCUGCCUUUGAGCGGGGGACAACAUUUGGAAACGAAUGCUAAUACCGCAUAAAAACUUUAAACACAAGUUUUAAGUUUGAAAGAUGCAAUUGCAUCACUCAAAGAUGAUCCCGCGUUGUAUUAGCUAGUUGGUGAGGUAAAGGCUCACCAAGGCGAUGAUACAUAGCCGACCUGAGAGGGUGAUCGGCAAAAUUGGGAAUGAGACACGGCCCAAACGCCUACGGGAGGCAGCAGUAGGGAAUCUUCGGCAAUGGACGAAAGUCUGAACGAGCAACGCCGCGUGAGUGAAGAAGGGUGUCGGAUCGUAAAACUCUGUUGGUAGAGAAGAACGUUGGUGAGAGUGGAAAGCUCAUCAAGUGACGGUAACUACCCAGAAAGGGACGGCUAACUACGUG